RNAcentral lists this long non-coding RNA (275 nucleotides) under Lathyrus oleraceus (garden pea). RNAcentral's name for it is "Pisum sativum (pea) long non-coding RNA (PSAT_LNC029325)". The record is from RNAcentral. Lineage: Eukaryota; Viridiplantae; Streptophyta; Magnoliopsida; Fabales; Fabaceae.
UUAACUACAACAACAACCAACAAUCCAAUAAUUUUUCAUAUAAAAUUCUGGAAAAAAAAUAUAAUAAUGAAAAUACAUCAAUGAAACACAAGAAAUCUUGAAAUAUCUUCUUGAAUCUUGAUCAAGGAUUAAAUCCAUAAUUCAAAAAACGAAAAUCAACAUGAAAAAAAAAUACAUUCAAGUGAAACUGAAAGAACGUGAAAAUCUUAGAUCCAGAGGAGAUAUGACGAAAUUGUUGGAAUUGGGGAGAGUGGUGCGGAAGAAGUUGGAAAGGA